UGUCGAAUGAGCUGCAGCCAUGCAUCUAAACAUUCUAUUACUGUUAUAACGUCAUGCAUUGGAACACAGAAAGUGUAGUCUUUAGUUCUUGUGUGUGACCAGGACAAAGGAAUUCUUCCCAUGAAGGUGAGUUCGAUAACCCAACUGUUUCUUACAAUCUAAAAUAAAUAUUCUUUCAUUAUAAAAUCAGAUGUUUCAUUUGAUUACAACCUACAAUCACUGUAUUUCUGAUACUGGUCUUCUGUGUUUUGUGUAUUCUUGACCCUUUUCAUGUACUGUUUGAGCCCCUACUAUGGCAAAUGGGGGGUCAUGUGAAAACAUUAAAUGAAAAAAGUAAGUUUAAUAACCCAAAUGUUUCUUACAAUAUAAAAUCAGAAAGUUUUGUUUGAAUAAAAUCACUGUAUUUCUGAUACUGGUCUUCCAUUUUUUUUCUCUUUUUUUUCUAUGCAUGACUAUCUUCUACAUGCCACUGUUUGAGCUCCUACUAUGGUAAAUGUGGGUCAUGUGACAACAUUAAAUUAACAAGGUAAGGUCAAUAACCCAAAUGUUUCUUACAAUAUUCAGUCUGAAUGCCUUUUAUUUGAAUACACCACAAAAUCACUGUAUUUCUGAAACUGUUCUUCUAUGUUUCUUUCUAUGCUUGACUUCCUUCAUUCACAUGUGACUGUUUGAGCCUAUACUGUGCUAAAUAUGGGCAAUGUGACAACAGUAUAUUAACAAGGUAAGUUUAAUAACCCAAAUGUUUCUAAAGUUUUUCAGUUGGUUACACCAUAAAAUCAGUGUAUAUCUAAUACUGGUACUCUGUGUUUUUCCUGUUUCUAUGCUUGACUCUCUUCAUCUACAUGUCACUGUUUGAGCCCCUGCUAUAGUAAAUGUGGGUCAUGUGUCAACAUUAACAAGGUAAUGCCAAUAACCAAAAAGUUUCUUUUAAUAUAGAACCAGAUGCUUCAUUCGAAUACACCAUAAAAUCACUGUAUUUCUGAUACUGGUCAUGUAUGUUUUUUUCUAUGCUUUACUCUCUUCAUCUACAUGCAACUGUCUGAGUCCCUACUGCCAACAGGGCAACUUCAUCGAGAAGGUAGACAUGACACCUUCCACAAACUUCAUUAACUUCCAUCCAUCCAGUCUGCUGAGAUUGCUACUUUGUUGCAUCGCUAUCUUCAAGAAACAGCUGAAGACACACACCUCUUCAUCAAGCAUUUACUUUCAGGAAUCCACAAUCAUAAUUAAAAGCACUUUGUAUAAAUUGUAUUUACAGAAGGUGCUGGAACCCUAUUGUAUUUGUACACUUUUGCCAAUUAUUCUUUUUUCUACCCUAAAGAUCCCAAGAGCCUUAUGAGGAAAGAUUUAAGCCAAUUAAAUUGUCUGGAACUGGCAAUUUUGACUAAUCUGCUCAAUGCAACGUCCAUCCUUAAUGAAACUUGAUACACUUUGACAAAAUGAAAUUAUGGCUGCACAAGAAGUUGUGUCAAAAUGAGUGCAUGUGGGGC
Cyprinus carpio carpio is the source of this 1490-nucleotide long non-coding RNA. The record is from Ensembl. Lineage: Eukaryota; Metazoa; Chordata; Actinopteri; Cypriniformes; Cyprinidae.